GAUGAACGCUGGCGGCGUGCCUAAUACAUGCAAGUCGAGCGAACAGAUGAGGCGCUUGCUCCUCUCACGUUAGCGGCGGACGGGUGAGUCACGCGUGUAUAACCUCCCUGUCAGACUGGGGUAACUUCGGGAAACCGGAGCUAAUACCGGAUAAUAUCUUGAACCGCAUGGUUCAAUAGUGAAAGACGGUUUUGCUGUCACUUCUCGAUGGAUCCGCGCCGCCUUAGCUAGUUGGUACGGUCACGGCUUACCACGGCAACCAUGCGUAGCCGACCGGAGAGAGGGAUAGCCCACACGGGAGCUGAGACAGAGUCCAGAGGCCUACGGUAGGCAGCAGUAGGGAAUGUUCCGCAAUGGGCGAAAGCCUGACGGAGCAGCGGGGCGUGUGUGAUGAAGGUGUUCGGAGCGGAAAGCUCUGUUAUGAGGGGAGAACAGAUGUGGAAGGAACUAUGCACGGCGUGACGGUACCUAAUCAGAAAGCCACGGCUAACUACGUG
This 497-nucleotide ribosomal RNA is filed under the name uncultured bacterium. RNAcentral describes it as "partial 16S ribosomal RNA". It matches the Rfam family "Bacterial small subunit ribosomal RNA", at positions 28 to 507 of the family's 1533-position model. The record is from RNAcentral.